ACUAAUGUUGAAAAAUUAGCGGAUGACUUGUGGCUGGGGGUGAAAGGCCAAUCAAACCGGGAGAUAGCUGGUUCUCCCCGAAAGCUAUUUAGGUAGCGCCUCGUGAAUUCAUCUCCGGGGGUAGAGCACUGUUUCGGCAAGGGGGUCAUCCCGACUUACCAACCCGAUGCAAACUGCGAAUACCGGAGAAUGUUAUCACGGGAGACACACGGCGGGUGCUAACGUCCGUCGUGAAGAGGGAAACAACCCAGACCGCCAGCUAAGGUCCCAAAGUCAUGGUUAAGUGGGAAACGAUGUGGGAAGGCCCAGACAGCCAGGAUGUUGGCUUAGAAGCAGCCAUCAUUUAAAGAAAGCGUAAUAGCUCACUGGUCGAGUCGGCCUGCGCGGAAGAUGUAACGGGGCUAAACCAUGCACCGAAGCUGCGGCAGCGACGCUUAUGCGUUGUUGGGUAGGGGAGCGUUCUGUAAGCCUGUGAAGGUGUGCUGUGAGGCAUGCUGGAGGUAUCAGAAGUGCGAAUGCUGACAUAAGUAACGAUAAAGCGGGUGAAAAGCCCGCUCGCCGGAAGACCAAGGGUUCCUGUCCAACGUUAAUCGGGGCAGGGUGAGUCGACCCCUAAGGCGAGGCCGAAAGGCGUAGUCGAUGGGAAACAGGUUAAUAUUCCUGUACUUGGUGUUACUGCGAAGGGGGGACGGAGAAGGCUAUGUUGGCCGGGCGACGGUUGUCCCGGUUUAAGCGUGUAGGCUGGUUUUCCAGGCAAAUCCGGAAAAUCAAGGCUGAGGCGUGAUGACGAGGCACUACGGUGCUGAAGCAACAAAUGCCCUGCUUCCAGGAAAAGCCUCUAAGCAUCAGGUAACAUCAAAUCGUACCCCAAACCGACACAGGUGGUCAGGUAGAGAAUACCAAGGCGCUUGAGAGAACUCGGGUGAAGGAACUAGGCAAAAUGGUGCCGUAACUUCGGGAGAAGGCACGCUGAUACGUAGGUGAAGUCCCUCGCGGAUGGAGCUGAAAUCAGUCGAAGAUACCAGCUGGCUGCAACUGUUUAUUAAAAACACAGCACUGUGCAAACACGAAAGUGGACGUAUACGGUGUGACGCCUGCCCGGUGCCGGAAGGUUAAUUGAUGGGGUCAGCGCAAGCGAAGCUCUUGAUCGAAGCCCCGGUAAACGGCGGCCGUAACUAUAACGGUCCUAAGGUAGCGAAAUUCCUUGUCGGGUAAGUUCCGACCUGCACGAAUGGCGUAAUGAUGGCCAGGCUGUCUCCACCCGAGACUCAGUGAAAUUGAACUCGCUGUGAAGAUGCAGUGUACCCGCGGCAAGACGGAAAGACCCCGUGAACCUUUACUAUAGCUUGACACUGAACAUUGAGCCUUGAUG
Molecule: ribosomal RNA, 1372 nt
Filed under: Escherichia coli
Lineage: Bacteria; Pseudomonadati; Pseudomonadota; Gammaproteobacteria; Enterobacterales; Enterobacteriaceae
Description: partial 23S ribosomal RNA
Rfam family: Bacterial large subunit ribosomal RNA
Source: RNAcentral